This 402-nucleotide ribosomal RNA is filed under the name uncultured bacterium. RNAcentral's name for it is "partial 16S ribosomal RNA". It matches the Rfam family "Bacterial small subunit ribosomal RNA", at positions 360 to 776 of the family's 1533-position model. The record is from RNAcentral.
AAUAUUGGGCAAUGGGCGAAAUCCUGACACAGCAACGCCGCGUGAAGGAAGAAGGUCUUCGGAUUGUAAACUUCUUUUAUGAGGGACGAUGGACGUGACGGUACCUCAUGAAUAAGCAACGGCUAAGUACGGGCAAGCAGCCGCGGUAAUACGUAGGUGGCAAGCGUUAUCCGGAUUUACUGGGUGUAAAGGGCACGUAGGCGGGGAUGGAAGUCAAAUGUCAAAUCUAUGGGCUUAACUCAUAAACUGCAUUUGAAACUGUAUCUCUUGAGUGCUGGAGAGGUAGACGGAAUUCCUUGUGUAGCGGUGAAAUGCGUAGAUAUAAGGAAGAACACCAGUGGCGAAGGCGGUCUACUGGACAGUAACUGACGCUGAGGCGCGAGAGCGUGGGGAGCAAACAGG